AGGGGACCUUCGGGCCUUUCGCUAACAGAUGAGCCUGCGUUGGAUUAGCUAGUUGGUGGGGUAAGGGCCCACCAAGGCGACGAUCCAUAGCUGGUCUGAGAGGACGAUCAGCCACACUGGGACUGAGACACGGCCCAGACUCCUACGGGAGGUAGCAGUGGGGAAUAUUGGACAAUGGGCGCAAGCCUGAUCCAGCAAUACCGCGUGUGUGAAGAAGGCCCUAGGGUUGUAAAGCACUUUCAAUUGGGAGGAAAACCCACCGGCCAAUACCCGGUGGCUUGACAUUACCUUUAGAAGAAGCACCGGCUAACUCCGUGCCAGCAGCCGCGGUAAUACGGAGGGUGCGAGCGUUAAUCGGAAUUACUGGGCGUAAAGCGUGCGUAGGCGGCCCGUUAAGUCAGAUGUGAAAGCCCCGGGCUCAACCUGGGAACUGUAUUUGAAACUGGCGGGCUAGAGUUUGGUAGAGGGGAGCGGAAUUUCAGGUGUAGCGGUGAAAUGCGUAGAUAUCUGAAGGAACACCAGUGGCGAA
This 529-nucleotide ribosomal RNA is filed under the name uncultured bacterium. Its description in RNAcentral is "bacterial SSU rRNA". It matches the Rfam family "Bacterial small subunit ribosomal RNA", at positions 202 to 719 of the family's 1533-position model. The record is from RNAcentral.